This 254-nucleotide ribosomal RNA is filed under the name uncultured bacterium. Its description in RNAcentral is "partial 16S ribosomal RNA". It matches the Rfam family "Bacterial small subunit ribosomal RNA", at positions 524 to 776 of the family's 1533-position model. The record is from RNAcentral.
UACGUAGGGUGCAAGCGUUGUCCGGAAUUAUUGGGCGUAAAGAGCUCGUAGGCGGUUUGUCGCGUCUGCUGUGAAAACGCGAGGCUCAACCUCGCGCCUGCAGUGGGUACGGGCAGACUAGAGUGCGGUAGGGGAGAUUGGAAUUCCUGGUGUAGCGGUGGAAUGCGCAGAUAUCAGGAGGAACACCGAUGGCGAAGGCAGAUCUCUGGGCCGUAACUGACGCUGGAGGAGCGAAAGCGUGGGGAGCGAACAGG